RNAcentral lists this unclassified non-coding RNA (505 nucleotides) under uncultured Glomus. Its description in RNAcentral is "SSU rRNA". It matches the Rfam family "Eukaryotic small subunit ribosomal RNA", at positions 569 to 1077 of the family's 1831-position model. Lineage: Eukaryota; Fungi; Glomeromycota; Glomeromycetes; Glomerales; Glomeraceae. The record is from RNAcentral.
AGCAGCCGCGGUAAUUCCAGCUCCAAUAGCGUAUAUUAAAGUUGUUGCAGUUAAAAAGCUCGUAGUUGAAUUUCGGGAUCAAAGGAUCGGUCAUGCCUUGGUAUGUACUGGUUUUAUUGGUUCUCACCUUCUAAAGAACCAUAAUGUCAUUCAUUUGAUGUUAUGGGGAAUUAGGACUGUUACCUUGAAAAAUUAGAGUGUUUAAAGCAGGCUUACGCUUGAAUACAUUAGCAUGGAAUAAUGAAAUAGGACAUCAGAUUCUAUUUUGUUGGUUUCUAGGAUCGAUGUAAUGAUUAAUAGGGAUAGUUGGGGGCAUUAGUAUUCAAUUGUCAGAGGUGAAAUUCUUGGAUUUAUUGAAGACUAACUACUGCGAAAGCAUUUGCCAAGGAUGUUUUCAUUAAUCAAGAACGAAAGUUAGGGGAUCGAAGACGAUCAGAUACCGUCGUAGUCUUAACCACAAACUAUGCCGACUAGGGAUCGGAUGAUGUUAAUUUUAUAAUGACUC